GCCGGGAUAGCUCAGUUGGUAGAGCAGAGGACUGAAAAU
Molecule: transfer RNA, 39 nt
Filed under: Hilliella fumarioides
Lineage: Eukaryota; Viridiplantae; Streptophyta; Magnoliopsida; Brassicales; Brassicaceae
Also listed under: 20 other names
Description: partial tRNA-Phe
Source: RNAcentral